RNAcentral lists this ribosomal RNA (645 nucleotides) under Cryobacterium psychrophilum. RNAcentral describes it as "bacterial SSU rRNA". It matches the Rfam family "Bacterial small subunit ribosomal RNA", at positions 35 to 681 of the family's 1533-position model. The record is from RNAcentral. Lineage: Bacteria; Bacillati; Actinomycetota; Actinomycetes; Micrococcales; Microbacteriaceae.
GCUGGCGGCGUGCUUAACACAUGCAAGUCGAACGGUGAAGAGGAGCUUGCUCCUUGGAUCAGUGGCGAACGGGUGAGUAACACGUGAGCAAUCUGCCCUUGACUCUGGGAUAACUGCGGGAAACUGUAGCUAAUACCGGAUAUUACCUUGGAAGGCAUCUUCUGGGGUGGAAAGAAUUUUGGUCAAGGAUGAGCUCGCGGCCUAUCAGCUAGUUGGUGAGGUAAUGGCUCACCAAGGCGACGACGGGUAGCCGGCCUGAGAGGGUGACCGGCCACACUGGGACUGAGACACGGCCCAGACUCCUACGGGAGGCAGCAGUGGGGAAUAUUGCACAAUGGGCGCAAGCCUGAUGCAGCAACGCCGCGUGAGGGACGACGGCCUUCGGGUUGUAAACCUCUUUUAGUAGGGAAGAAGCGACUGGGUUUUCCUGGGAGUGACGGUACCUGCAGAAAAAGCACCGGCUAACUACUUGCCAGCAGCCGCGGUAAUACGUAGGGUGCAAGCGUUGUCCGGAAUUAUUGGGCGUAAAGAGCUCGUAGGCGGUUUGUCGCGUCUGCUGUGAAAACCCGAGGCUCAACCUCGGGCCUGCAGUGGGUACGGGCAGACUAAAGUGCGGUAGGGGAGAUUGGAAUCCUGGUGUAGCGG